UACGGGGGGGGUAAGCGUUGUUCGGAAUUACUGGGCGUAAAGGGCUCGUAGGCGGCCAACUAAGUCAGACGUGAAAUCCCUCAGCUUAACUGGGGAACUGCGUCUGAUACUGGAUGGCUUGGAUCCGGAAGAGGGAUGCGGAAUUCCAGGUGUAGCGGUGAAAUGCGUAGAUAUCUGGAGGAACACCGGUGGCGAAGGCGGCAUCCUGGACCGGUAUUGACGCUGAGGCGCGAAAGCCAGGGGAGCAAACGGG
This 253-nucleotide ribosomal RNA is filed under the name uncultured bacterium. RNAcentral's name for it is "partial 16S ribosomal RNA". It matches the Rfam family "Bacterial small subunit ribosomal RNA", at positions 524 to 776 of the family's 1533-position model. The record is from RNAcentral.